GAUUAAAUGGGCUGAGUUUAGC
RNAcentral lists this transfer RNA (22 nucleotides) under Themira lucida. RNAcentral's name for it is "partial transfer RNA-Tyr". The record is from RNAcentral. Lineage: Eukaryota; Metazoa; Arthropoda; Insecta; Diptera; Sepsidae.